ACACAUGCAAGUCGAGGGGUAUAGUUCUUCGGAACUAGAGACCGGCGCACGGGUGCGUAACGCGUAUGCAAUCUACCUUGUACAGAGGGAUAGCCCAGAGAAAUUUGGAUUAAUACCUCAUAGUGUUAUUGAAUGGCAUCAUUUAAUAACUAAAGUUCUAACGGUACAAGAUGAGCAUGCGUCCCAUUAGUUAGUUGGUAAGGUAACGGCUUACCAAGACAAUGAUGGGUAGGGGUCCUGAGAGGGAGAUCCCCCACACUGGUACUGAGACACGGACCAGACUCCUACGGGAGGCAGCAGUGAGGAAUAUUGGACAAUGGGCGCAAGCCUGAUCCAGCCAUGCCGCGUGCAGGAUGACUGCCCUAUGGGUUGUAAACUGCUUUUAUACAGGAAGAAACACUGCUACGUGUAGCAGCUUGACGGUACUGUAGGAAUAAGGAUCGGCUAACUCCGUGCCAGCAGCCGCGGUAAUACGGAGGAUCCAAGCGUUAUCCGGAAUCAUUGGGUUUAAAGGGUCCGUAGGCGGCCUUAUAAGUCAGUGGUGAAAUCUCCUAGCUCAACUAGGAAACUGCCAUUGAUACUGUAGGGCUUGAAUUUUUAGGAAGUAACUAGAAUAUGUAGUGUAGCGGUGAAAUGCUUAGAUAUUACAUGGAAUACCAAUUGCGAAGGCAGGUUACUACUAAUGGAUUGACGCUGAUGGACGAAAGCGUGGGUAGCGAACAGGAUUAGAUACCCUGGUAGUCCACGCCGU
Molecule: ribosomal RNA, 751 nt
Filed under: unidentified microorganism
Description: bacterial SSU rRNA
Rfam family: Bacterial small subunit ribosomal RNA
Source: RNAcentral